CCAAGAAAACAUCUAAGAAAAGUGUUCAAAGAGGCCGGAACAAGAUAAUUUAACCACCGGUAGAGGUCAAACUUGGACAUCGAUCGAAGAGAUGGCGUUAGCAAGGGCGUGGACCAAUACGUCUACGUGUCCGAUCGUAAUAAUCAAAAGUCUGAUAGUUUUUUGAAGGAGGUUUGCAACAAAUUUCAUGCUUUGAUGCAAAAAGAACCGUACCGAAAAGUGAACUCAAUAGGCUCAAAGUAUCGAGAGAUGAAUAAGAAGAUAUCGGCAUUUUGUGGUUAUUACAACAAUGCUCAUUCGAAUCGGCCAAGUGGGGCGAGUGAUGAAACGGUUUUUGCCAUAACUAUGUCAAAAUACCAUACGAAAGAAGGUAGUGCGUUCACAUACGUAGGGGCUUGGGAAAUCUUUAAAAAUUGUUCCAAGUGG
Molecule: long non-coding RNA, 426 nt
Filed under: Helianthus annuus (common sunflower)
Lineage: Eukaryota; Viridiplantae; Streptophyta; Magnoliopsida; Asterales; Asteraceae
Description: sRNA HanXRQr2_Chr08g0342621
Source: RNAcentral